AGAGGUCCCGCCUGCCCUGUGAUAAUUAUUUAACGGCCGCGGUAUUUUGACCGUGCAAAGGUAGCGCAAUCACUUGUCUUUUAAAUGAAGACCUGUAUGAAUGGCUUGACGAGGGCUUAACUGUCUCCUUUUUCCAGUCAAUGAAAUUGAUCUUCCCGUGCAGAAGCGGGAAUAUAACCAUAAGACGAGAAGACCCUAUGGAGCUUUAAACUAAAGCAGAUCUUGUUAAACGCAUCUAAUUAAAGAAAUAAACUUAAAAGAACCCUGUCAUUUAUGUUUUUGGUUGGGGCGACCAUGGGGAAACAAACAACCCCCAUGUGGACUGAGAAAACAGUUCUCACAACAAAGAGCCACAGCUCUAAUUAACAGAACUUCUGACCUUNGAGAUCCGGCAAUGCCGAUCAACGGACCCAGUUACCCUAGGGAUAACAGCGCAAUCCCCUUUUAGAGUUCAUAUCGACAAGGGGGUUUACGACCUCGAUGUUGGAUCAGGACAUCCUAAUGGUGCAGCAGCUAUUAAGGG
RNAcentral lists this ribosomal RNA (523 nucleotides) under Betta cf. smaragdina 2 BOLD:AAA5092. RNAcentral's name for it is "partial 16S ribosomal RNA". It matches the Rfam family "Bacterial large subunit ribosomal RNA", at positions 1848 to 2571 of the family's 2925-position model. Lineage: Eukaryota; Metazoa; Chordata; Actinopteri; Anabantiformes; Osphronemidae. The record is from RNAcentral.